Neotoma lepida (desert woodrat) is the source of this 72-nucleotide transfer RNA. It matches the Rfam family "tRNA". Rfam says of the family: Transfer RNA (tRNA) molecules are approximately 80 nucleotides in length. The record is from Rfam. NCBI's taxonomy places the organism in Eukaryota, Metazoa, Chordata, Mammalia, Rodentia, Cricetidae.
GCCAUGACCGUAUAGUGGUUAGCACUCUUNGUUGUGGCUGCAGCAACCUCGGUUCGAAUCCGAGUCAUGGCA